This 1665-nucleotide ribosomal RNA is filed under the name Triticum aestivum (bread wheat). RNAcentral's name for it is "partial small subunit ribosomal RNA". Lineage: Eukaryota; Viridiplantae; Streptophyta; Magnoliopsida; Poales; Poaceae. The record is from RNAcentral.
UACCCUAGGGCCUCCCUUGGGGCUAAUAAGGGCCCGCCAUUUUCGUGCCCGGUCUAGUUCGGCCCCUUUAGCUCGCGCUGCAAACCUGCCUAAGCAACCCCCCCGUAGGGACGGGAUGGGCGCAGCAAAGGGGCCCCUUUGCAAGGUGCGGAGGUCCCCAGCCCCUCUCUUCGGUGCCGAGCUCGCUCUGGCGCUUGCGUCGCUGGCUUUCCGCCGCUGCUGGCCUCUCUGCCUGGCGGGGGAGGGAGGCCACGAGGUGGAGGUACGAGGCAGGUGGUCGCUGGUGUUGCAGGCACCAGCAGAACGAGGAGGAAGGGGUCUAGAGGGGAGGAGGAGCUUCAAGGACAGGGGAGGCCACUGCCGUUGCGGCCGCCAAGGCGCCAGUUGAAGGUGGAUGAAGCUAAUUCCCUUUGACUACGGACUUGAACGACCAGGUCUAGGUUCUUGGGCUCGGAAGAGAAGAUUUAUUAAGGUGUACCGCAUCUGUUUUAAAUGAAGUAACCACGGGACUCGGAGACUGUAAUCGUUUACUAAACGAAAUAGGCUUUUGCGAUCCGCCACCGCCGCCGCAACACAAGUCACCGAUUCACGGAAAACCAAGCAACCAGUAACUUUUCUAAAGUAGACUACUUCUUUCCCAGAACGAAUUCGUUCUCUUUCAUGACGGUUCAUAGUUGAUCGAUCAAUGUCUAAGUGAAUAGUCCCUUCAUUGAACAUUGUCGUCACCUCACACCCGUGCACGGUAUAUAGAUAAUCAUUAAACCAUGAAGGUAGCACGAACACGAUCGAGGUCCAAACUUAGAAGGAAUCAUGAUAUAAAAAUCUUCACUACGAAUGACAACCAAUCCCAGAAGAAGACUUCUUGUUAUUGUUAAAAAAAUAUAAACAACGUCUUCAAGACGAUACGUAAGUAAUUGUGAAUGCUGUGACGGCCUCUUAUGUAACAAACACUUAACAAACAAACCGACGGAAUGCAGGAAAAUAUCUAUCUCAGGAAAUGAAGAGGCGUGAUUUUUUAGGUACAAACAAAACAGGAAUGAAAAGGGGAGUAUGUAAAAAAAACAGGGGUAAAAAUGAUUAAAACUUUAAUAUAUAACCGCCCUUCGAAGUGUUAUUUCUAUAUAACGAAUAGUAGAAGGUAAGAAGGCAGAAUUCAAUAAAUCAUUAAUAAUGACUUUACAUACUGUGAUAUUGGACUUUGUCUUCAAUCAUAAGACCGAGAAUAGAAAAAAGAGUUGUUCAAGACGACUAACAAUAAUUUUUAGAUUCGAUAUCACUAGUACACAAGUACAUUAACAAUGUUAAGAGUCAACCUAUGUACCACGAUUGAAAGAAUGAGAAAAAAACAUCAAGUUGCUUGUAGCUCAACACCAUGAACUACAGCUACGCCUCACCGCUUUUCUGGACUCAUCCUGAUCACUAAAAGUGGAACGUUGAGUUAGGAUAAGCUUUCACACAUACGGAACCUGUACACUAUUAAGUCUUGGAAAACAUCACUUGUUUGAAUUUGUUACCACGUAGUUACGGUUAACAAAACUAACGAAAAUACAACCGUGUGCUUUUUGCCAAAUCCAGUUGCGAACUAACGAUAUUUUACGUUUCGCUACCUAUAAACUUAGAACCACUUCACUACCUAUAGUCAACAACAACAAAAAAAACUGCUUU